AGGGGAUGACUGCCACAACAUAUAAAAAAGGCGGAAACACUCGCAGACGGUCGAUUUGCCAAAGCGGACGAAUGAAGAUGCCGAAACUUAAACGUGAGGUAUCUUCCUGCGGUGGCCAUUUUUUUAAAUCAACAGAUGAAGUUCCAGCAGGUGACGUGACCUCCUGUGGUGGCCAUUUUGUUAACCAACAGAUGAAGUUACAGCAGGUGACGUGACCUGGGACGGCCAUUUUGUAAACCAACAGAUGAAGUUACAGCAGGUGACAUGACCUUCUGGGACGGCCAUUUUGUAAACCAACAGAUUAAGUUACAGCAGGUGACAUGACCUUCUGGGACGGCCAUUUUGUAAACCAACAGAUGAAGUUACAGCAGGUGACGUGACCUGGGACGGCCAUUUUGUAAACCAACAGAUGAAGUUACAGCAGGUGACAUGACCUUCUGGGACGGCCAUUUUGUAAACCAACAGAUUAAGUUACAGCAGGUGACAUGACCUUCUGGGACGGCCAUUUUGUAAACCAACAGAUUAAGUUACAGCAGGUGACAUGACCUUCUGGGACGGCCAUUUUGUAAACCAACAAAUUAAGUUACAGCAGGUGACAUGACCUUCUGGGACGGCCAUUUUGUAAACCAACAGAUGAAGUUACAGCAGGUGAUGUAACCUUCUUUGGUGGCCAUUUUGUAGAUGGAGUUCCAGGCAGGUGACGUGACCUCCUGUGGUAGCCAUUUUGUAAACCAACCGAUGAAGUUCCAGCGGGUGACGUAACCUUCCGGGGUGGCUCUCUUGUAAACCAACAGAUGACGUUCUAGCAGGUGACGUAACCUUUGACGGCCAUUUUGUAGACCAACAGAUGGAGUUCCAGGAAGGUUGGUUGACCACCAGCUCGGGGACGUUGGACCAGAACCACAUUUGUUGUGUUGGCAUCACAAGACCUUGUUUAUUUGUUGUAAUGUUUAAGUUAAAUAAAAUUACCUAAACAA
Long non-coding RNA from Nerophis ophidion (straightnose pipefish), 977 nucleotides. RefSeq lists it as uncharacterized. The record is from RefSeq and is a predicted model, not a curated record. Lineage: Eukaryota; Metazoa; Chordata; Actinopteri; Syngnathiformes; Syngnathidae. The transcript is spliced from 16 exons.